RNAcentral lists this ribosomal RNA (446 nucleotides) under uncultured bacterium. Its description in RNAcentral is "bacterial SSU rRNA". It matches the Rfam family "Bacterial small subunit ribosomal RNA", at positions 329 to 792 of the family's 1533-position model. The record is from RNAcentral.
GUCCAGACUCCUACGGGAGGCAGCAGUGGGGAAUAUUGCACAAUGGGGGAAACCCUGAUGCAGCGACGCCGCGUGAGCGAUGAAGUAUUUCGGUAUGUAAAGCUCUCUCAGCAGGGAAGAAGAUGACGGUACCUGACUAAGAAGCCCCGGCUAACUACGUGCCAGCAGCCGCGGUAAUACGUAGGGGGCAAGCGUUAUCCGGAUUUACUGGGUGUAAAGGGAGCGUAGACGGCGAUGCAAGCCAGAUGUGAAAGCCCGGGGCUCAACCCCGGGACUGCAUUUGGAACUGUGUGGCUGGAGUGUCGGAGAGGCAGGCGGAAUUCCUAGUGUAGCGGUGAAAUGCGUAGAUAUUAGGAGGAACACCAGUGGCGAAGGCGGCCUGCUGGACGAUGACUGACGUUGAGGCUCGAAAGCGUGGGGAGCAAACAGGAUUAGAUACCCCAGUA